AAACGCGAUCUGCCCAACCGCCGCGGCAAUUUGAGGCUGUGCGGAUGGGCCGCAUCGUGUUGACUGGCCGGUUGAUUUGUUGGAAGAACGU
RNAcentral lists this small RNA (91 nucleotides) under Sinorhizobium meliloti 2011. RNAcentral's name for it is "putative ncRNA". The record is from RNAcentral. Lineage: Bacteria; Pseudomonadati; Pseudomonadota; Alphaproteobacteria; Hyphomicrobiales; Rhizobiaceae.